UUUUCUUCUUCUUUUUCUUCUUUUUUUCUUUAAGACGUUCUUCUUCCUCCCUUUCUCUUCUUAUGGCGUCUUGAUAGCUUUCAAUCGCCGCUAAUUUCUCUUGUUCUUCUAAUGCCUUCUGUCGCUCAUAUAUCUUGGCUCUUUCUUCUCUCUGUCUGACAGCAAUUCUCCUCCUCUCCUCUUCUUCCCAUAAUCGUUUAUCAUCCAUUUUUUUCCUUCCUAAAGUCUCUUCAUAUAAGUAUUCCCUCUCUUGCUGCCCCAUGUACGACAAUUCAUUGAUUUUCUUUGUCUUCCUGUACUCCAUGCCACUGCUUCCAUCCAGGAAGCCUUCAUCCACACUUGUUGAGUCCUUGAGUUGCUUAAUUACAAUUUUCUUGCUGCGAUGUGACUCUGCAGUCUCCAUUGGUGGCCUUACCAGAAUGGAAGG
RNAcentral lists this unclassified non-coding RNA (427 nucleotides) under Hevea brasiliensis (rubber tree). Lineage: Eukaryota; Viridiplantae; Streptophyta; Magnoliopsida; Malpighiales; Euphorbiaceae. The record is from RNAcentral.